CCGAAUCCACUUCUCUGGCUGCAAUGCGCGCUCCCGACACAGGGGGAACAAAUUUUCACAGGGGAACAGAAUUUCUCACAAGACCGGAAGUAAGACCCAUAAUUGUUUCCCCAGUAAGCCUCCCAGGAAUUUGUUAGCCGGCAUGCAAGGUAAAAUAUUAUCUAGCUUUCUGUUUCUUCAUCCUUUUACAGUAUUUCUUUCAAAUUUUCCUGUAUCAACUUUCUUGCAAACUAGCCAUUACGUCACACUUUUAAGGCUAGUGUAGUUAAAAUAUUCAACAAUCAGUUCAGCUUUAAAUGACUUUCCAGACUAUCUUACUACUGAGGUUUUUUUAAUACAUGUCCUGAUUGUUGCCACAGCACUGAGGCAAACAUGUGUGUUUUUGUGUCCAACAGCUCUAGUGGAUAUUACUUGCACUCUUUUGCUGCUCAAUCCGGACUUCACCACUGCCUGGAAUGUCAGGAAAGAGCUGUUAGAGUGUGGUGCUCUCAAUCCAGAAAGAGACCUUUACCUGAGCAAGCUGGCCCUCACCAAAUUCCCCAAAAGCCCUGAGACAUGGAUACAUAGGUAAGGUUUUAAAACUCAGAUUUCCCUUUUUUUAAAGAAUAGAACAAAUGUUCUCUAUUAUUUCAAAUAUUUUUGUAGUGCUCACAUUUUGGAAGUGAAACCCACAAAAAUUGCAUACGGAAUCCAAAUUAAAUGGAAAAGAAAGACCUUUUGUGAUGAGACUGGAAAUACAAAUAUUUAUCCUUACUCUAUUUAAAAAAUACAAACAAACAAAUUGCACUAUAAGACUGUAAGAACCCUGUAAUUAAUUAUGUAAUUGCUCAUCUGAAGCCAAAUGUAAACAUCACAGCUAAAGUCCAAAUCCAGGUGACAUGCUGCA
Molecule: long non-coding RNA, 886 nt
Organism: Poecilia latipinna (sailfin molly)
Lineage: Eukaryota; Metazoa; Chordata; Actinopteri; Cyprinodontiformes; Poeciliidae
Exons: 2
Source: RefSeq, a predicted model, not a curated record